GCAGGCGGCGGAAUCGCGCGACGUGUGGCAGCGGCUUUCGAAGGCCGUUCCGGCGGUGUUGGCGGCCGAGUCGAGUGGCGAUCGGCUCCUCUCGGCAAGGGCUCUCUUUUGGCAGCAGCGGCAACGCCUGUGGUGGCCGGAGACGGAAGAUCUGGUGGAGAGAGAAAGUAGGGGGCAGCCGCGUUUUUCAGCUUUUCUGGCGAGCUCCGGCCGAGGAUGGACGAUCGGAGGACGUAUCCCGACUCUCCUCAGCUCAAGCUUCGCAUUGACACCGGUUUCGUGGCGAUCGGGCUUCGUUUGC
RNAcentral lists this long non-coding RNA (301 nucleotides) under Ricinus communis (castor bean). RNAcentral describes it as "long non-coding RNA (RCOM_LNC002197)". Lineage: Eukaryota; Viridiplantae; Streptophyta; Magnoliopsida; Malpighiales; Euphorbiaceae. The record is from RNAcentral.